Taeniopygia guttata (zebra finch) is the source of this 962-nucleotide long non-coding RNA. RefSeq lists it as uncharacterized. NCBI's taxonomy places the organism in Eukaryota, Metazoa, Chordata, Aves, Passeriformes, Estrildidae. The record is from RefSeq and is a predicted model, not a curated record.
GCUGUCUCCUGAGUGUCUCCGUGCAGGGGGGACACCUGAGGAGGGAAAAAGUCCCUUCUGUAGAGUUGGUUAAGCACAGGGGUUAUGAAGCUCAAAGGAAUUACAGCAGAACAUCUGGAGAAGGUCAACAGGGACAACAGCUUGUACCAGUAUGAGCAUCUCGGGCACUGCUCGUAGGUUUGUGGAUGGGUGCUGAACCAACAGCAUCCUGAAGUGGUGUAAAUCCCAACUCCUCCACGUCCCAGCCCUGCUGGCCACGUUUCCACUUUGCCAUCACCAGUUCCUGCCUUCCCCAAGAAGAUGCCUGAGCUGCUGUUAGACCCUGCUGUGGUCAUUCCUCCUCAGCCAGCUGGGAGGUUCACAGUGGGGAAGAGUCAAGCUUUGACACUGUGGGAUCUUUGCCAGAAGUGCACAGGAGACUGUCAAAUCCCAUGGGACACCGGCUCCAACCUUCCCAACACCUCCAUGGACACGUCUAAAUACAGGCUUGGAUGGAACCACAGGAGAUGAGUGACUGUCCCAGCAGCAGGAGGAGCUCAUAGGCUCGUUUUCUCGGUCAUCCAUGUCUCUGUGCAUCAUAUAUCACGCCUGUGUGUCCAGAGGAAAGAAAGAUCCCCUCCAACCCAGCAGCCCUGUAACGGAUGGACCUUCCCGAUUCGCAGUGAGCUGACAGCUUGUGAGAACAACAGCUUGAAUUACUGAAAGAACUUUUCCCACUGAGUUAAUCUGCAAUGGAUGUAGGUGACCUUCUAAAGGCAUCUAUUAAUCAAAAAACCAGUGCCCAUUCACUGUGCUAGGCUGAGCCCUUUGGGGGAGGGGGAGAUACUAAUUUCCCUCUGAGAUAAAUCAUAAUUUGACAAUAAUCAUCUGCCCUAAUCACUCCGAUUCUUCCCUUUAAUUAUUUGUACACACGGCUCUUCCUGCCUGAGAAACACAAAGGACAACAUUAAAUGUGGAAAUGC